GACGAACGCUGGCGGCGUGCCUAAUACAUGCAAGUCGAACGAACCGCGACUAGGUGCUUGCACUUGGUCAAGGUGAGUGGCGAACGGGUGAGUAACACGUGGGUAACCUACCUCAUAGUGGGGGAUAACAGUCGGAAACGACUGCUAAUACCGCAUAGGACAUAGGAUCACAUGAUCCAGUGAGGAAAGGUGGCGCAAGCUAUCGCUAAGAGAUGGACCCGCGGUGCAUUAGCUAGUUGGUAGGGUAAAGGCCUACCAAGGCGAUGAUGCAUAGCCGACCUGAGAGGGUGAUCGGCCACAUUGGGACUGAGACACGGCCCAAACUCCUACGGGAGGCAGCAGUAGGGAAUCUUCCGCAAUAGACGCAAGUCUGACGGAGCAACGCCGCGUGAGUGAAGAAGGUCUUCGGAUCGUAAAGCUCUGUUGUUAGAGAAGAACAGCGCAUAGAGUAACUGUUAUGCGUGUGACGGUAUCUAACCAGAAAGCCACGGCUAACUACGUG
This 502-nucleotide ribosomal RNA is filed under the name uncultured bacterium. RNAcentral describes it as "partial 16S ribosomal RNA". It matches the Rfam family "Bacterial small subunit ribosomal RNA", at positions 28 to 507 of the family's 1533-position model. The record is from RNAcentral.